This 361-nucleotide ribosomal RNA is filed under the name uncultured Ehrlichia sp. Its description in RNAcentral is "bacterial SSU rRNA". It matches the Rfam family "Bacterial small subunit ribosomal RNA", at positions 63 to 436 of the family's 1533-position model. The record is from RNAcentral. Lineage: Bacteria; Pseudomonadati; Pseudomonadota; Alphaproteobacteria; Rickettsiales; Anaplasmataceae.
UCAAUUAUUUAUAGCCUCUGGCUAUAGGAAAUUGUUAGUGGCAGACGGGUGAGUAAUGCGUAGGAAUCUACCUAGUAGUACGGAAUAGCCAUUAGAAAUGGUGGGUAAUACUGUAUAAUCCCCGAGGGGGAAAGAUUUAUCGCUAUUAGAUGAGCCUACGUUAGAUUAGCUAGUUGGUGAGGUAAUGGCUUACCAAGGCUAUGAUCUAUAGCUGGUCUGAGAGGACGAUCAGCCACACUGGAACUGAGAUACGGUCCAGACUCCUACGGGAGGCAGCAGUGGGGAAUAUUGGACAAUGGGCGAAAGCCUGAUCCAGCUAUGCCGCGUGAGUGAAGAAGGCCUUCGGGUUGUAAAACUCUUU